GACGAACGCUGGCGGCGUGCUUAACACAUGCAAGUCGAGCGGAGCGGCGAACGGGUGAGUAACGCGUGAGUAACUGCCCCCCUCUCUGGGAUAACAGUUGGAAACGGCUGCUAAUACCGGAUAGUGGGGGAUGACUCGCGUCCUAUCAGCGUGUUGGUGGGGUAGUGGCCUACCAAGGCGACGACGGGUAGCCGGCCUGGGAGGGCGACCGGCCACAUUGGGCGGGGAGACGGGCCGAAGUGCUACGUGGGGCAUGAGUGGGGAAUAUUGCAAAAUGGGGGAAACCCGGAUGCAGCAACGCGCGUGCGGGAUGACGGCCUUCGGGUUGGAAACCGCUUUCAGCCAUGACGCGGUAGUGGCAGAAGAAGCACCGGCUAACUACGUGCCAGCAGCCGCGGUAAUUC
RNAcentral lists this ribosomal RNA (404 nucleotides) under uncultured bacterium. RNAcentral's name for it is "partial 16S ribosomal RNA". It matches the Rfam family "Bacterial small subunit ribosomal RNA", at positions 28 to 526 of the family's 1533-position model. The record is from RNAcentral.